CAAUCUCUAGGUAUGUCGAGAAUUAGGUGUUCAAGUCCAGAUUCAGAACAAGAACAGCGAAUUGACGUAGAGUCAGCUAGGCAAGAUGCGUCUCUUAACAUACAAAGGGCAGCCGCAUCCGAUACUUUACGAUUUAACCAGGGUCGAGCUACUAUCAAGCCAUUUUCUAAAGGCGAUUUCGUAUUCAUCAAAAGUUGUGAACGCAACCAAACCAAGUUAGAUAGGAAGUUUAGGGGUCCUUAUGUAAUAAUCGCAGUAUUCGAUAAUGACCGUUACGAGUUGAAAUCAUAACCGGUUCACAUCGUACUUUCAAAUACGCGCACGAGAACUUGCGUCCAGUACCUCGGGGUCAUGACGGGUUAGUUGAAAUAUCUACUAGUUUGAUGACUGAAGAAGAGGCCAUGACGGCGCCGAACGAUGUUGAACUCGAUAAUAGUCACCUUGACAGACCGAAUGUUUGUGAUAUACAUUGACUGCAGGCUCCGAUACACUGUCCGCAGGAUCAGACACGCUUACAGCGGAGUCUGAUACCCUAAGUAACAUUUCAGAUCGCGAAAUCUUUGAGCAUGAGGUCCGAAUUCACGCAGAGCAAGACAGUCCGUAACUUAUAGGACUGCAAUCUGAUGCGCCCGAGGACGGUCGAAAGUCAGUCCGGCCGUGACGGCGCAUUCCUAGCGCCAUGUUAAGAAAUACUGCAAAUAUUGGAACGAGAUUUGACAGUUGUCAAGUCUGGCGGAGCGUCGUAUCGAUGGUCAGCGCGGCCAUGUUGAAUCGUUUGGAGUUUUUCGAACGUCAACGGCGAGCGCACCACGUCUGCGACGAAUCGCUUUUGUUCUAAAUAAUCUGGUGUCUUUUUGUUACAAAACUAAUUGAAAGUGCUUGUUUAAGAGAUUUCCUAAUUAAUAGUAAAUAGAUUUUGAGUUUGGUGACCAACAUUAAAAUUAUUAAGAUAUGGCUGAUUCUAAUAAUGAAGGGCAUCCGCCCAUAUAUAUGUU
Pieris napi is the source of this 995-nucleotide long non-coding RNA. RefSeq lists it as uncharacterized. The record is from RefSeq and is a predicted model, not a curated record. NCBI's taxonomy places the organism in Eukaryota, Metazoa, Arthropoda, Insecta, Lepidoptera, Pieridae. The transcript has 2 exons.